GAUGAACGCUGGCGGCGUGCCUAAUACAUGCAAGUCGAACGAAACUUCUUUAUCACCGAGUGCUUGCACUCACCGAUAAAGAGUUGAGUGGCGAACGGGUGAGUAACACGUGGGCAACCUGCCCAAAAGAGGGGGAUAACACUUGGAAGCAGGUGCUAAUACCGCAUAACCAUAGUUACCGCAUGGUAACUAUGUAAAAGGUGGCUAUACUACCGCUUUUGGAUGGGCCCGCGGCGCAUUAGCUAGUUGGUAGGGUAAAGGCUUACCAAGGCAAUGAUGCGUAGCCGAAUUGAGAGGUUGAUCGGCCACAUUGGGACUGAGACACGGCCCAAACCCCUACGGGAGGCAGCAGUAGGGAAUCUUCCACAAUGGGCGAAAGCCUGAUGGAGCAACGCCGCGUGGGUGAAGAAGGUCUUCGGAUCGUAAAACCCUGUUGUUAGAGAAGAAAGUGCGUGAGAGUAACUGUUCACGUUUCGACGGUAUCUAACCAGAAAGCCACGGCUAACUACGUG
RNAcentral lists this ribosomal RNA (512 nucleotides) under uncultured bacterium. RNAcentral's name for it is "partial 16S ribosomal RNA". It matches the Rfam family "Bacterial small subunit ribosomal RNA", at positions 28 to 507 of the family's 1533-position model. The record is from RNAcentral.